UAGUCCAAGCGGUAAACGAUGGGUACUAGGUGUCGGGGGUAUCGACCCCUUCGGUGCCGCAGCUAACGCAUUAAGUACCCCGCCUGGGGAGUACGAUCGCAAGAUUGAAACUCAAAGGAAUUGACGGGGGCCCGCACAAGCGGUGGAGUAUGUGGUUUAAUUCGAGGCAACGCGAAGAACCUUACCUGGGUUUGACAUGCUUGAGACAGCCGGUGAAAGCCGGUUUCCCUUCGGGGCUCUUGCACAGGUGCUGCAUGGCUGUCGUCAGCUCGUGCCGUGAGGUGUUGGGUUAAGUCCCGCAACGAGCGCAACCCUUGUCCAUAGUUGCUAUCAGGUAAUGCUGGGAACUCUAUGGAGACUGUCGGUGAUAAGCUGGAGGAAGGUGGGGAUGACGUCAAGUUCUCAUGGCCCUUAUAUCCAGGGCUACACACGUACUACAAUGGUCGGUACAGAAGGUCGCAAUACCGUGAGUGGAGCCAAUCCUUAAAACCGGCCCCAGUUCGAAUUGGAGU
RNAcentral lists this ribosomal RNA (512 nucleotides) under uncultured bacterium. RNAcentral describes it as "bacterial SSU rRNA". It matches the Rfam family "Bacterial small subunit ribosomal RNA", at positions 791 to 1304 of the family's 1533-position model. The record is from RNAcentral.